GAGCGAACGCUGGCGGCAGGCCUAACACAUGCAAGUCGAACGAACUCUUCGGAGUUAGUGGCGGACGGGUGAGUAACACGUGGGAACGUGCCUUUUGGUUCGGAAUAACUCAGGGAAACUUGUGCUAAUACCGAAUGUGCCCUUCGGGGGAAAGAUUUAUCGCCCUUAGAGCGGCCCUCGUCUGAUUAGCUAGUUGGUGAGGUAACGGCUCACCAAGGCGACGAUCAGUAGCUGGUCUGAGAGGAUGACCAGCCACACUGGGACUGAGACACGGCCCAGACUCCUACGGGAGGCAGCAGGGGGGAAUCUUGCGCAAUGGGCGAAAGCCUGACGCAGCCAUGCCGCGUGAAUGAUGAAGGUCUUAGGAUUGUAAAAUUCUUUCACCGGGGACGAUAAUGACGGUACCCGGAGAAGAAGCCCCGGCUAACUUCGUG
Molecule: ribosomal RNA, 434 nt
Filed under: uncultured bacterium
Lineage: Bacteria
Description: partial 16S ribosomal RNA
Rfam family: Bacterial small subunit ribosomal RNA
Source: RNAcentral